GGGCCUAUGGCGCAAUUGGUAGCGCGUAGUAAGUUCCACUGAAUGAAAUAAUUGGUUCCAACAUCCACUAACCAAACACCUACAGCGACUCCAGAUCGUAAGGUUGUCCGAUCGAGCCGGGCUGGGCUCA
RNAcentral lists this transfer RNA (130 nucleotides) under Aspergillus brasiliensis. RNAcentral describes it as "tRNA-Gly". The record is from RNAcentral. Lineage: Eukaryota; Fungi; Ascomycota; Eurotiomycetes; Eurotiales; Aspergillaceae.